GAAACGGUGAUUAAUACUAGAUACGCCUUCUUACUUAAUGUAAGUUGGGAAAGUUUUUCGCUAAGGGAUCGGCCUAUGUUGUAUCAGGUAGUUGGUAGGGUAAUGGCCUACCAAGCCAAUGACACAUAGCGGGUCUGAGAGGAUGAUCCGCCACACUGGUACUGAGACACGGACCAGACUCCUACGGGAGGCAGCAGUGGGGAAUAUUGCACAAUGGACGAAAGUCUGAUGCAGCAACGCCGCGUGGAGGAUGACACAUUUCGGUGCGUAAACUCCUUUUAUAUAAGAAGAUAAUGACGGUAUUAUAUGAAUAAGCACCGGCUAACUCCGUGCCAGCAGCCGCGGUAAUACGGAGGGUGCAAGCGUUAUUCGGAAUCACUGGGCGUAAAGGGUGCGUAGGCGGUUUGGAAAGUCAGAUGUGAAAGCCUAUGGCUCAACCAUAGAACUGCAUUUGAAACUUCCAAACUAGAAUACUGAAGGGGCAGAUGGAAUUAGUGGUGUAGGGGUAAAAUCCGUA
Molecule: ribosomal RNA, 517 nt
Filed under: uncultured bacterium
Lineage: Bacteria
Description: bacterial SSU rRNA
Rfam family: Bacterial small subunit ribosomal RNA
Source: RNAcentral